This 2026-nucleotide ribosomal RNA is filed under the name Chryseobacterium sp. CF284. RNAcentral's name for it is "bacterial LSU rRNA". It matches the Rfam family "Bacterial large subunit ribosomal RNA", at positions 453 to 2571 of the family's 2925-position model. The record is from RNAcentral. Lineage: Bacteria; Pseudomonadati; Bacteroidota; Flavobacteriia; Flavobacteriales; Weeksellaceae. RNAcentral also lists the same sequence under 1 other name.
CCAUCCUCCAAGGCUAAAUACUCCUGAAAGACCGAUAGUGAACAAGUACUGUGAAGGAAAGGUGAAAAGCACUUCGAAUAGAAGGGUGAAAUAGAACCUGAAACCGUACGCCUACAAGCGGUCGGAGCCCACAAGUUGGGUGACGGCGUGCCUUUUGCAUAAUGAGCCUACGAGUUAAUUUUACUAGCGAGGUUAAGGUAUUAAGUACCGGAGCCGGAGCGAAAGCGAGUCUGAAUAGGGCGUAUAGUUAGUAGGAUUAGACGCGAAACCUUGUGAUCUACCCAUGGGCAGGUUGAAGCUCUGGUAACACAGAGUGGAGGACCGAACCGGUUGACGUUGAAAAGUCUUCGGAUGACCUGUGGGUAGGGGUGAAAGGCCAAUCAAACUGGGAGAUAGCUCGUACUCCCCGAAAUGCAUUUAGGUGCAGCGUCGUGUAUAGUUUAUUAGAGGUAGAGCUACUGAUUGGAUGCGGGGGUUUCACCACCUACCAAUUCCUGACAAACUCCGAAUGCUAAUAAAUUUUUUGCGGCAGUGAGGGCAUGGGUGCUAAGGUCCAUGUCCGAGAGGGAAAGAACCCAGACCAACAGCUAAGGUCCCCAAAUAUAUGCUAAGUUGAAGCAACGCGGUUGAACUGCAUUGACAGCUAGGAUGUUGGCUUGGAAGCAGCCAUUCAUUUAAAGAGUGCGUAACAGCUCACUAGUCGAGCGGUUCGGCAUGGAUAAUAAUCGGGCAUAAGCAUAUUACCGAAGCUAUGGAUUUAUAAUUAAUUAUAUCUGGUAGGGGAGCAUUCUAUUUGCGCCGAAGCAGUAUCGCGAGGUAUUGUGGAGCGGAUAGAAAAGAAAAUGUAGGCAUAAGUAACGAUAAAGGGGGCGAGAAACCCCCUCACCGAAAGACUAAGGUUUCCUCAGCCAUGCUAAUCAGCUGAGGGUUAGUCGGGACCUAACGCGCACCCGAAAGGGGAAGUGGAUGGACAAUGGGUUAAUAUUCCCAUACUUGCUCACACUAAAAAGGGGACGGAGUGCCGUACUUACUGGAGACUGACGGAAUAGUCAAGACCUAGCCUUCGGGCGAAGUUGCUGUAAGGAAAGUGCUUCCAAGAAAAGCCGAAGUGAAGCAACCCGUACCAAAACCGACACAGGUAGUCGAGGAGAGAAUCCUAAGGUGCUCGAGUGAGUCGUGGCUAAGGAACUAGGCAAAAUAGUCUCGUAACUUCGGAAGAAGAGACGCCAGCAGCAAUGCUGGCCGCAGUGAAGAGGCCCAGGCGACUGUUUAUCAAAAACACAGGACUCUGCUAAAUCGAAAGAUGCUGUAUAGGGUCUGACACCUGCCCGGUGCUGGAAGGUUAAGGAAGGGCGUUAGGGUAACCGAAGCGUUUGACUGAAGCCCCAGUAAACGGCGGCCGUAACUAUAACGGUCCUAAGGUAGCGAAAUUCCUUGUCGGGUAAGUUCCGACCUGCACGAAUGGUGUAACGAUCUGGGCACUGUCUCAGCCACGAGCUCGGUGAAAUUGUAGUAUCGGUGAAGAUGCCGAUUACCCGCAAUGGGACGAAAAGACCCUGUGAACCUUUACUAUAACUUCGUAUUGACUUUGAGUAAGUAAUGUGUAGGAUAGGUGGGAGACUUUGAAGCAGGCACGCUAGUGUUUGUGGAGUCAACGUUGAAAUACCACCCUUUACUUACUUGGAGCCUAACUUCUUUAAGAAGGACAUUGCGUGGUGGGUAGUUUGACUGGGGUGGUCGCCUCCAAAAGAGUAACGGAGGCUUUCAAAGGUACCCUCAGCACGCUUGGUAACCGUGCGUAGAGUGUAAUGGCAUAAGGGUGCUUGACUGUGAGACCUACAAGUCGAUCAGGUGCGAAAGCAGGACAUAGUGAUCCGGUGGUUCCGUAUGGAAGGGCCAUCGCUCAUAGGAUAAAAGGUACUCCGGGGAUAACAGGCUAGUCUCCCCCAAGAGCUCACAUCGACGGGGAGGUUCGGCACCUCGAUGUCGGCUCGUCACAUCCUGGGGCUGGAGAAGGUCCCAAGGG